This 459-nucleotide ribosomal RNA is filed under the name uncultured bacterium. RNAcentral's name for it is "partial 16S ribosomal RNA". It matches the Rfam family "Bacterial small subunit ribosomal RNA", at positions 338 to 795 of the family's 1533-position model. The record is from RNAcentral.
CCUACGGGGUGCUGCAGUGAGGAAUAUUGGUCAAUGGCCGGGAGGCUGAACCAGCCAAGUCGCGUGAGGGAAGACGGCCCUACGGGUUGUAAACCUCUUUUGUCAGGGAGCAAGGUGCAGGUCGGGACCUGCGGUGAGAGUACCUGAAGAACAAGCAUCGGCUAACGCCGUGCCAGCAGACGCGGUAAUACGGAGGAUGCGAGCGUUAUCCGGAUUUAGUUGGUUUAAAGGGUGCGCAGGCGGAGGCACAAGUCAGCGGUAAAAUCGCGGGGCUCAACCCCGCUCCGCCGUUGAAACUGUGGCCCUUGCGUGCGCGAAGGGUAGGCGGAAUGCGUGGUGUAGCGGUGAAAUGCAUAGAUAUCACGCAGAACUCCGAUCGCGAAGGCAGCCUACCGGCGCGCAACUGACGCUCCUGCACGAAAGCGUGGGUAUCGAACAGGAUUAGAUACCCUUGUAGUC